RNAcentral lists this ribosomal RNA (492 nucleotides) under uncultured bacterium. RNAcentral's name for it is "partial 16S ribosomal RNA". It matches the Rfam family "Bacterial small subunit ribosomal RNA", at positions 29 to 507 of the family's 1533-position model. The record is from RNAcentral.
AGUGAACGCUGGCGGUAGGCCUAACACAUGCAAGUCGAACGGCAGCACAGUAAGAGCUUGCUCUUACGGGUGGCGAGUGGCGGACGGGUGAGGAAUACAUCGGAAUCUACUUUUUCGUGGGGGAUAACGUAGGGAAACUUACGCUAAUACCGCAUACGACCUACGGGUGAAAGCAGGGGAUCUUCGGACCUUGCGCGAUUGAAUGAGCCGAUGUCGGAUUAGCUAGUUGGCGGGGUAAAGGCCCACCAAGGCGACGAUCCGUAGCUGGUCUGAGAGGAUGAUCAGCCACACUGGAACUGAGACACGGUCCAGACUCCUACGGGAGGCAGCAGUGGGGAAUAUUGGACAAGGGGCGCAAGCCUGAUCCAGCCAUACCGCGUGGGUGAAGAAGGCCUUCGGGUUUUAAAGCCCUUUUGUUGGGAAAGAAAAGCAGCAGGUUAAUACCCCGCUGUUCUGACGGUACCCAAAGAAUAAGCACCGGCUAACUUCGUG